AUGUUCAGAUCUGAAUUGCUUAGAAAUUUGAAAACAACUGAAACCUGGUGAUGUGCUGGUUAUAAACGGAAUAGGCUUGUUGUCUUGAUAUGUUCAGAGUCCUGGAACAGUUUAUAGCUGUGAGGUUCAUCUCCAAAUUUUAUUUAUUGUUCUACAUGUGCAUGCAUCUUUAUUUGCGAGCUAUAUGUACCUUUUAGUUGCAGGUUUGAUCAUGAUGUAUUGGUAUCCAUUGCUGAACCGCUUCUCUCUGACAAGAUAUUUACAUGGUGUAGCUUUUAGCCAUUGUCCAAGACUCCAAGUAUAGUCAUGAAGACAUAUUAGAACGAAACUGCAGGACUUGAGUUAACCACACUUGCAGCGAUGGACGUCAUGAUUCUUCGAUCCAUGAUGUUUGCCCUACGAUUUGCGUUCGCAAUAACUGCCCUGAAUUACUUACUAUCAAAGCUACAGUUAUGAGAAACAAUUUCCCAAUUUUUUCUGCUUUCAUAUGGUGGUAAUUAAUUUUCUUUACUUCUGUUUUGAGACAUUUUGCAUUGGAAGCACUUGAGUGAUGUUAGACUUCUUCACAAGGGCGAUCCUACAAAUUCGACAAGAGCUUCUUAUCCUUAAACAAAUUGGAAUGAUUCAUAGGUCUGAAAGUAUGACGGAGGGGCUGAGUGUUUGUCCAAACAAGGGACACAGUUGAAUGAACUAGAGAAUUGGAUUCAAAGGAAGUGUUAGAGCAACAGCCAACAUUGCAACAGUUAUUAUACCGGCUUGUUGGAUGUCUGUUUUUUUUUCUCUGUAGCCUGAAGGAGCCGCAAAUAAUAACUACUUGGUGAAAUACGCACUAGCUUUAAAUGCCAUAUGUGAGGUCCAAGAUGUCAGUUCUAGGAGAUCUACCCGAGGAUGUCAUAUGCCAGUGCUCAGUUAUUUUUGUGAGCAACCAUUUCCCAGUAUCGAUGUUAUGUUUGGUAUUGUCAGGAAUAAAAUUAGGAUGAUUGGAUAGUUACAGACAAUAUGGAUAUGAUGCAGUCUUGUGCAAUUUGAUUUCACGAGCUAGCAGAUCAUGGUUAGUCGGGCAUUCUUUGUUCAAUAGACCUUCAUAACAUCUAAUUUAAACCAUUUGCGGAAGAAUGGUUGAAGUAUCAAUGUUACCAUGUAUGGCACUUUUUUUUCGUGAACUUUUAUAGAGGUGGUCUAUUGACCAUUCAAAAAAUGGUAUGAUUUGAUAUUGC
Long non-coding RNA from Panicum virgatum (switchgrass), 1217 nucleotides. RefSeq lists it as uncharacterized. Lineage: Eukaryota; Viridiplantae; Streptophyta; Magnoliopsida; Poales; Poaceae. The transcript has 6 exons. The record is from RefSeq and is a predicted model, not a curated record.